Molecule: ribosomal RNA, 683 nt
Filed under: uncultivated soil bacterium clone C009
Lineage: Bacteria
Description: bacterial SSU rRNA
Rfam family: Bacterial small subunit ribosomal RNA
Source: RNAcentral
AGUGGCGAACGGGUGAGUAACACGUGGGUGAUCUACCUCGGAGUGGGGGAUAACGUUCCGAAAGGAGCGCUAAUUCCGCAUGACGUUCUGGGUUUGAAGACCUGGAGACCAAAGCUGGGGACCGCAAGGCCUGGCGCUUGGAGAGGAGCCCGCGCCUGAUUAGCUAGUUGGCGGGGUAAUGGCCCACCAAGGCGACGAUCAAUAGCCGGCCUGAGAGGGCGGACGGGCACACUGGGACUGAGACACGGGCCAGACUCCUACGGGAGGCAGACAGUGGGGAAUUGUUCGCAAUGGGCGCAAGCCUGACGAAGCAACGCCGCGUGGAGGAUGAAGGACUUCGGGUCGUAAACUCCUGUUGAUCGGGAAGAACGAGUCUUGGGGCUAAUCCACCCAGACAGAGUCUGGUACCCGAUUGAGGAACGCACGGGGUAACUCUUUGCCAGCAGCCAGGGUAAUACAGAGGUGCCAAGCGUUGUUCGGCAUUACUGGCCGUAGAGGGCGCGUAGUCGCCCUUGUCAGUCAGAUGUGAAACCCCACCGGUGACCUCGGGGAACUGCGUCUGAACCCCCAAGUCUGGCUUCCGGGAGAGAGAUGUGGAAUUCCAGGUGUACCGGUGCAAUGCGUAGAUAUCUGGAGGAACACCGGUGACGCAGCCGUCAUCCUGGACCGACCCUGACCCUGAG